CCUAUCCCUCGUGUGCCUUGCUCCACGACUUGGCGUAAGACGCACGUAGGCGGCCUUCGUAAGUUGGAGUGUGAAAGACCCUCGGGCGUCAACCCACGGAAGUGCAUCCAAAACUGCAUGGCUUGAGUACCGGAGGGGUUCAGAGAAUUCCCGGUGUAGAGGUGAAAUUCGUAGAUAUCGGGAGGAAUACCAGUGGCGAAGGCGCUGAACUGGACGGUAACUGACGCUGAGGUGCGAAAGCGUGGGUAGCAAACAGGAUUAGAUACCCUGGUAGUCCACGCCGUAAACGAUGAGUGCUAGGCGGUGGGAGAUUUUGACCCUCUCGCUGUCGAAGCUAACGCGUUAAGCACUCCGCCUGGGGAGUACGGUCGCAAGACUAAAACUCAAAGGAAUUGACGGGAGCCGUCGACGCGGCCG
RNAcentral lists this ribosomal RNA (417 nucleotides) under uncultured bacterium. RNAcentral describes it as "SSU rRNA". It matches the Rfam family "Bacterial small subunit ribosomal RNA", at positions 526 to 935 of the family's 1533-position model. The record is from RNAcentral.